CCUACGGGAGGCAGCAGUGAGGAAUAUUGGUCAAUGGGCGCGAGCCUGAACCAGCCAAGUAGCGUGAAGGAUGACUGCCCUACGGGUUGUAAACUUCUUUUAUAAAGGAAUAAAGUGAGGCACGUGUGCCUUUUUGUAUGUACUUUAUGAAUAAGGAUCGGCUAACUCCGUGCCCGCAGCCGCGGUAAUACGGAGGAUCCGAGCGUUAUCCGGAUUUAUUGGGGUUAAAGGGAGCGUAGAUGGGUUGUUAAGUCAGUUGUAAAAGUUUGCGGCUCAACCGUAAAAUUGCAAUUGAUACUGGCAGUCUUGAGUCCAGUUGAGGUAGGCGGAAUGCGUGGUGUAGCGGUGAAAUGCUUAGAUAUCACGAAGAACUCCGAUUGCGAAGGCAGCUUACUAAACUGCCACUGACAUUGAUGCUCGAAAGUGUGGGUGUCAAACAGGAUUAGAUACCCCAGUAGUC
RNAcentral lists this ribosomal RNA (460 nucleotides) under uncultured bacterium. RNAcentral describes it as "partial 16S ribosomal RNA". It matches the Rfam family "Bacterial small subunit ribosomal RNA", at positions 338 to 795 of the family's 1533-position model. The record is from RNAcentral.